GGUGUCCAGAGGACCCGAGCAGGGUCAGAAACCCUUUUACCACAAAGAGCCAAAGAUUAAAGACAAGGAGGAGCUGAAAAAAGUGCAGCCUCAAAUGGACAAGACGAUCCAGCAGGUCUCCUGGGCUCAAGUCGCAAUGAUGAAGGGCAGCGGUGGAGGAGCCAGGGCCAGUGAGUCAGCGCUUCAGUCCAGCCCCUCACCUCAACCCCCCAACACUCCUCAACAGUGCCCAGACGCCAUGAAACCUCUGGGAAGCAUACCGGAAGAAAGCGCAGGACGCGCAGGAAGCCGCUGAGCUCUGCGCCUCCUUUGUAACCCGUUCACCAGACUGUCUGCACAACCAGGACAUCGUCUCCGCACUGCAUAUUAGAUUAGAC
This is a long non-coding RNA of Platichthys flesus (European flounder), 377 nucleotides long. RefSeq lists it as uncharacterized. Lineage: Eukaryota; Metazoa; Chordata; Actinopteri; Pleuronectiformes; Pleuronectidae. The transcript is spliced from 3 exons. The record is from RefSeq and is a predicted model, not a curated record.